UCCCUGGUAGUCCAGUGGCUAGGACUCCUUGAAUGCAACGCAGGGGGCCUGGGUUUGAUCCCUGGUCUGGGAA
RNAcentral lists this transfer RNA (73 nucleotides) under Bos taurus (domestic cattle). It matches the Rfam family "tRNA". Rfam says of the family: Transfer RNA (tRNA) molecules are approximately 80 nucleotides in length. RNAcentral also lists the same sequence under 5 other names. The record is from Rfam by way of RNAcentral. Lineage: Eukaryota; Metazoa; Chordata; Mammalia; Artiodactyla; Bovidae.